UUUGGAUGAGGUGCGUAGACCAGCCGAUGUUUAUUUCGACACAGGUGGCAAAAACAAAGUGGAUGAUAGCCGGCAAGCUGGUUGGAGAUUCUGAUGAAGAGAUGACCAGAAUUGAAAUAUCACGUAAGGCAUUUGCGAAAUGGAGACCAGUCCUAAGUAACAGAAACCUUUCAAUGCAUACUCGUCAGAGGGUCCUGAAAUGCUAUGUGUGGUCCAUCCUAUAAUACGGCUGCGAGACAUGGGCAUUAAAAACCACAAUGCUGAACAAACUGGAAGCAUUUGAAAUGUGGUGCUACCGCAGGAUCCUGAAGAUAUCGUGGGUCUUGCACACUUCUAACAAGGACGUUCUUAGGAUGAUGAAUACAGACCGACUACUCCUAAAUAUAAUAAAGAGGAGGAAGACAGAAUACUUCGGUCACAUAGUUAGAGGACCUAAAUACCAUCUACUUCGCCUUAUAAUACAAGGAAAAGUGGAAGGAAAAAGAUGGAUAGGCCGAAAGAAACUUUCAUGGCUGCGCAAUAUCAGGCAGUGGUGUGACUGCACAGUAGAGGAGCUGUUUCGCGUAGUGGCCGAUAGAGAAAGAUUCCAGGAAAUCGUAAAUAUGAUGAUGACCAACGUCUGAAUACAGACACGGCACCUAAAGAAGAAGGCUACCUUCAAAGGGGUUAGGAUAAGGUGUUUGGAGAAAUUGGUGUUUGGGUGCCUCGUAACUUUGUUAAAAAGAAAUAAGGAUAUACCUCGAGCGGUUAAGGUAUACCUUGGUGGGUUCUUACCUACUACUGGUUCGAAGCAGGAGAUGGUAAUGAUUGAAGUAGAAACCAAAGAGAACUGGUAGAAACUAAUUUAUUGCGCGUUGAGUUUAACAAGUGUGAGUGUGUGUUUGCGGACUCUAAACGCGCCCUCAGUUUUUCUCACUGAACCGGCGGGGCCUUCUGAUUCUAGGUUGUUACCUCGAAGAUUUGUUCGAAAGAGAAUUUAACUCAAUCUCGCUAACAUUUGCGUCUCGACGAAUGCUACAUGGUCCGGUUCCAGAACGUUCGUCGUCGUACCCCCUCGGAGGUACUCGACUCACGAUAUACAAAUCCACCUCCGGCUGGCUGUGUGGCGUAUGCCAGUGGCGUGUGGCCAGCCUGGCGUAUGCCUUCAGGAAGGAAUAUAAAAAAUACGUGGGAAGAUUCUCCGUACGUUACACAGUUAACACAUAUCCUCCUUAUGAUUCGAAUAAUUGUAUAAUGCCCGAAUAAAUAGACGAAACAGAUCGAUCGAAUGAAUGUUAAUGAAAUUCAAUAAUAAUUGUAACUGGGUUCCAGUACCGCUAUACAGGGUGUUCCACAAUUAUUUUA
Megalopta genalis is the source of this 1344-nucleotide non-coding RNA. The record is from RefSeq and is a predicted model, not a curated record. Lineage: Eukaryota; Metazoa; Arthropoda; Insecta; Hymenoptera; Halictidae.